CCAGACUCCUACGGGAGGCAGCAGUGAGGAAUAUUGGUCAAUGGGCGGAAGCCUGAACCAGCCAAGUCGCGUGAGGGAUUAAGGCCCUAUGGGUCGUAAACCUCUUUUGUCAGGGAGCAAUGGCGUCCACGUGUGGGCGUAUGGAGAGUACCUGAAGAAAAAGCAUCGGCUAACUCCGUGCCAGCAGCCGCGGUAAUACGUAGGUGGCAAGCGUUAUCCGGAUUUACUGGGUGUAAAGGGCGUGUAGGCGGGAGAGCAAGUCAGACGUGAAAUUCCAGGGCUCAACCCUGGAACUGCGUUUGAAACUGUUCUUCUUGAGUGAUGGAGAGGCAGGCGGAAUUCCGUGUGUAGCGGUGAAAUGCGUAGAUAUACGGAGGAACACCAGUGGCGAAGGCGGCCUGCUGGACAUUAACUGACGCUGAGGCGCGAAAGCGUGGGGAGCAAACAGGAUUAGAUACCCCAGUAAU
Molecule: ribosomal RNA, 467 nt
Filed under: uncultured bacterium
Lineage: Bacteria
Description: bacterial SSU rRNA
Rfam family: Bacterial small subunit ribosomal RNA
Source: RNAcentral